This 419-nucleotide ribosomal RNA is filed under the name uncultured bacterium. RNAcentral describes it as "bacterial SSU rRNA". It matches the Rfam family "Bacterial small subunit ribosomal RNA", at positions 359 to 776 of the family's 1533-position model. The record is from RNAcentral.
GAAUAUUGGUCAAUGGAUGCAAGUCUGAACCAGCCAUGCCGCGUGCAGGAAGAAGGCCUUCUGGGUUGUAAACUGCUUUUGUCAGGGGAUAAAAAUUCCUUGCGAGGAAGAUUGAAGGUACCUGGCGAAUAAGCCACGGCUAACUACGUGCCAGCAGCCGCGGUAAUACGUAGGUGGCAAGCGUUGUCCGGAGUUAUUGGGUUUAAAGGGUGCGUAGGCGGCUUUGUAAGUCAGUGGUGAAAUAUCGCAGCUUAACUGUGAGGGCGCCAUUGAUACUGCAGAGCUUGAGUACAGAUGAGGUAGGCGGAAUUGACGGUGUAGCGGUGAAAUGCUUAGAUAUCGUCAAGAACACCUAUAGCGAAGGCAGCUUACUAGGCUGUAACUGACGCUGAGGCACGAAAGUGUGGGGAUCAAACAGG